UCUUAGCUAAAGAGUACUGAAAAGUUUAUUUUUUUUUUAAACAGGGAAACUAGGCAAACAAACCUCCCCAGUUGUCUAAAAGCACAAGCACACAAAGCUCUCGAGCCUGAGGAGUGUUCCUGCGUGUGAUCUGGACGUGCUGCUGCUGCCCUUGGAAGCUGGAUCUUGGUCUAUCUGCUCUGACACCUGCCAGGAAGAUGGAAGGAAACUCGCAUCUUCUGGAGACAGCUUCCCUGGGAUGCCAUGCCUGUGGGCAUUGUUGCUGGGAUUCCUGCUCUCUCCUCAGAGCUCCCAAAUCUCUCCAGAGGCACGUGCCAGGCGAGCAGCUUGGCAAAGACUAUGCUUGCUCAGUGGAGGGAGCGUUCUCAGCUGGAAGGUGUCUCUGAGGCUAUUUGCUGCAGCCACAUGGAAAAGGUACCCUGUCCCUGUGAUGGGAGCUCAGGCUCAGCACACACAGCAGUACCCUCCUGGCCACGGGCAUCUGUCACUCCAAGGCCAGGGAGAUGGGGCCUGAGAUGCCAUGAGCUGACAGGGUUGGUUCUUCAGCUCCUGCUUUACCUGACUUGCCUCAUUUAACUGGCAGAAAGUUUUCCUGGAGGAGAAGUGGCUCGUUCCUGCCUUGUUAGCCAUGAUGUUCCACAGAG
Long non-coding RNA from Apus apus (common swift), 644 nucleotides. RefSeq lists it as uncharacterized. The record is from RefSeq and is a predicted model, not a curated record. The transcript is spliced from 3 exons. Lineage: Eukaryota; Metazoa; Chordata; Aves; Apodiformes; Apodidae.